RNAcentral lists this microRNA precursor (98 nucleotides) under Camelus bactrianus (Bactrian camel). RNAcentral's name for it is "mir-544 microRNA precursor family". It matches the Rfam family "mir-544 microRNA precursor family". The record is from Rfam by way of RNAcentral. Lineage: Eukaryota; Metazoa; Chordata; Mammalia; Artiodactyla; Camelidae. RNAcentral also lists the same sequence under 3 other names.
CUCACCUGAAGAACUUGUUAAAAUUCCAGAUUCUGCUUCAGUCGGGGAGGGCUGGGUCUGAGAUUCUGCAUUUCUAGCAAGUUUCCAGGUGAUGCUGA